GCGGCUGUAGUUUAGUGGUAUGACGACUCCUUGCCAUGGAGUAGACCCGGGUCCGAUUCCCGGCAGCCGCACCA
This 74-nucleotide transfer RNA is filed under the name Candidatus Vogelbacteria bacterium CG10_big_fil_rev_8_21_14_0_10_45_14. Its description in RNAcentral is "tRNA-Gly". It matches the Rfam family "tRNA". From Rfam's summary of the family: Transfer RNA (tRNA) molecules are approximately 80 nucleotides in length. Lineage: Bacteria; Candidatus Vogeliibacteriota. The record is from RNAcentral.